CCUUCGAUAGCUCAGUUGGUAGAGCGGUGGACUGUAGUUGGAAUAAGCUGGUAUCCAUAGGUCACUGGUUCAAAUCCGGUUCGAAGGA
Operophtera brumata (winter moth) is the source of this 88-nucleotide transfer RNA. It matches the Rfam family "tRNA". Rfam says of the family: Transfer RNA (tRNA) molecules are approximately 80 nucleotides in length. Their secondary structure includes four short double-helical elements and three loops (D, anti-codon, and T loops). Further hydrogen bonds mediate the characteristic L-shaped molecular structure. tRNAs have two regions of fundamental functional importance: the anti-codon, which is responsible for specific mRNA codon recognition, and the 3' end, to which the tRNAs corresponding amino acid is attached (by aminoacyl-tRNA synthetases). tRNAs cope with the degeneracy of the genetic code in two manners: having more than one tRNA (with a specific anti-codon) for a particular amino acid; and 'wobble' base-pairing, i.e. permitting non-standard base-pairing at the 3rd anti-codon position. Lineage: Eukaryota; Metazoa; Arthropoda; Insecta; Lepidoptera; Geometridae. The record is from Rfam.